CAGUCGCCGCGGGAAUACAGAGGGUGCGAGCGUUAAUCGGAUUUACUGGGCGUAAAGCGCGCGUAGGUGGUUUGUUAAGUUGGAUGUGAAAGCCCCGGGCUCAACCUGGGAACUGCAUCCAAAACUGGCAAGCUAGAGUACGGUAGAGGGUGGUGGAAUUUCCUGUGUAGCGGUGAAAUGCGUAGAUAUAGGAAGGAACACCAGUGGCGAAGGCGACCACCUGGACUGAUACUGACACUGAGGUGCGAAAGCGUGGGGAGCAAACAGGAUUAGAUACCCGAGUAGUCCUGUCUCUUAUACA
RNAcentral lists this ribosomal RNA (301 nucleotides) under uncultured bacterium. RNAcentral describes it as "partial 16S ribosomal RNA". It matches the Rfam family "Bacterial small subunit ribosomal RNA", at positions 509 to 809 of the family's 1533-position model. The record is from RNAcentral.